AACGAACGCUGGCGGCAUGCCUAACACAUGCAAGUCGAACGAUACCUUCGGGUUUAGUGGCGCACGUGUGCGUAACGCGUUGGAACCUGCCCUUAGGUUCGGAAUCACUCCCCGAAAGGGGUGCUAAUACCGGAUAAUGUCUUCGCACCAAAGAUUUAUCGCCUUUGUAUGGGCUCGCGUUGGAUUAGCUAGUUGGUAGGGUAAAAGCCUACCAAGGCGACGAUCCAUAGCUGGUCUGAGAGGAUGAUCAGCCACACUGGGACUGAGACACGGCCCAGACUCCUACGGGAGGCAGCAGUGGGGAAUAUUGGACAAUGGGCGAAAGCCUGAUCCAGCAAUGCCGCGUGAGUGAUGAAGGCGUUAGGGUUGUAAAGCUCUUUUACCCGGGAAGAUAAUGACAGUACCGGGUGAAUAAGCUCCGGCUAACUCCGUG
Molecule: ribosomal RNA, 433 nt
Filed under: uncultured bacterium
Lineage: Bacteria
Description: partial 16S ribosomal RNA
Rfam family: Bacterial small subunit ribosomal RNA
Source: RNAcentral